GAUGAACGCUGGCGGCGUGCCUAAUACAUGCAAGUCGAGCGAACAGACGAGGAGCUUGCUCCUCUGACGUUAGCGGCGGACGGGUGAGUAACACGUGGAUAACCUACCUAUAAGUCUGGGAUAACUUCGGGAAACCGGAGCUAAUACCGGAUAAUAUAUUGAACCGCAUGGUUCAAUAGUGAAAGACGGUUUUGCUGUCACUUAUAGAUGGAUCCGCGCCGCAUUAGCUAGUUGGUAAGGUAACGGCUUACCAAGGCAACGAUGCGUAGCCGACCUGAGAGGGUGAUCGGCCACACUGGAACUGAGACACGGUCCAGACUCCUACGGGAGGCAGCAGUAGGGAAUCUUCCGCAAUGGGCGAAAGCCUGACGGAGCAACGCCGCGUGAGUGAUGAAGGUCUUCGGAUCGUAAAACUCUGUUAUUAGGGAAGAACAAAUGUGUAAGUAACUAUGCACGUCUUGACGGUACCUAAUCAGAAAGCCACGGCUAACUACGUG
Molecule: ribosomal RNA, 497 nt
Filed under: uncultured bacterium
Lineage: Bacteria
Description: partial 16S ribosomal RNA
Rfam family: Bacterial small subunit ribosomal RNA
Source: RNAcentral